GUGAAUUUUUGGUGGUGCCCCACGCUUUGGGCAGGGAUGUGACCUUGAGUGUUUGAGCGUGGUGAGAAAUUUUUGAAAAGUCACGGAAGGGGUGCGUCCGGCUAUCGCUGAAUUUCCUCGGGAAGUAAUACCUGAAGCUGGGAAAGGCGGAAAAACUUCAGAAAAUCCUGUAAAUUUUUGUACACGCAUCAACACCGUACGUCCGGAAUACGUGAGUUUUGGUGGUGCCCCACAGUUUGGGCAGGGAUGUGACCUUGAGCGUUUGAGCGUGGUGAGAAAUUUUUGAAAAGUCACGGAAGGGGUGCGUCCGGCUAUCGCUGAAUUUCCUCGGGAAGUAAUACCUGUGAGCACUGCAUCCAGAGAUUCUUCUCAACCAUUGUCUACCUGAGUGUCUUUUUGGCGGUCGAAUACGGGAUCCUGGCCAUCAAUAAUGGCACCUACAUUGCCCAAGUGAUGCGCU
This is a long non-coding RNA of Lutzomyia longipalpis, 460 nucleotides long. RefSeq lists it as uncharacterized. The transcript is spliced from 3 exons. The record is from RefSeq and is a predicted model, not a curated record. Lineage: Eukaryota; Metazoa; Arthropoda; Insecta; Diptera; Psychodidae.